GUACUACUUUGUAGCCUAUAGUCCGUUUCAGCAACUUCAGAGCUAAAGAAACGGUUGACUGCUUUGCUGAAUCAAGUUCCAAAAUCACAUAGGACAUCCCUACCUCGGGAAAGUGUGGUAUAAUAAGACUUCUGCUAGGUGACAGUUGGCAGCAGAGGGGCAGACUGACAAAAUGGCAUCUGGCAUGAAAGUGCAUAUGAAGUAAAGGUGUGGAACUGAAUUCCUCCAUGAAGAAAAAACUGCACCCACUGACAUUCAUUGAUGUUUGCUGAACUCGGAUGGAGGCCAAACAGUGGGGCAGAUGUUUACAAGUGCAGUAUGCAGGCUUUUGUUCAUUGCUGGCAAAAAUGCUUACCUAGUGGUGGUGACUGUGUUGAAAAACAGUGUUUUGUGCAUAAGAAUUAUGCUCUAUCAAAUAGUGUUUUUGUGCUCUUUGUAUCUGCUGCAGUUCCCAGGGAAAUAAAUAGGAGGCAGUACGGCAGUACUCGGAGGUCCGAGUGACCUACAUUAUACCUCCUUAGAAUAGAGAAAACUAAAUUCAUGAGCCUAAUCCCACCCCUCCCCCCAACUUGAGAAAAAUAAGCACCUAACUUGAACAUCGAAAUUCAGCAUGAAAUUACCUCCCCACAUUGUCACCACCAAUUAUAUAAUAACAAAAUAAGCUUUUAGAUAAGCACAUCAGUACUGCAAUACAAAGCACUUCUACCAACAUGUCCCUAGCUCUAGUCUAUACGGGUUUAAAAGAAAGAGCUGCUGUUUGUAAAAGUGGUGGUCAGCAUUCAGUUUCAAGUGAGUAGUGUUUGCUCUGACAAACGCUGCCACGACAUUUUGUAUAAGCUUAGAAGAGUCCAAAGACUGAAUAAAUACUGACACCAAGGUCUCCACUUUCCUAAAGUAAGGGGGCUCCAAAGGUCAGGGAGAAGUCUUGUGCAAAAGUCAAGUCUUGUGCUCUUGUGUCAAGGAAAUGCAACUACAGCUGUCUGUUAUAUCUUCUGUAUGAAUAAAUAGAGGUUGAAUUUCAACAUCCAAAUCUGUCGGCAGCAUUAAAAUGUUAUGUCCCAGUAAAACAGAAAGCAACUCCUUGUUAGCAACUUCAUGAAGAAUGCUAAAGACUGAACACAGAUCUUGCAAGGCCUUGGUGUUUGUCUUGUCAGCUUAAGAAGGACACGUGUUGAUGCUACAAGUUCCCAGCCCCUUUGUGUGAAUAUGUAGGAAACAUGAGCUCUCUCCUGCUGUCAUUUUGAUGUCAGAUGCAGAACUAAAACAAACAAGUGGGGCAAGGAGGGGAAGGUUUGCAGUUAAUUCUGUCUUUGCACAUAAACAAGUAUUUCUAUUCCUGCUUAAAUUGGGAAGGAAGUCAUUUUAUACACAGUAUGCUUCCUUUCAGCUUUACUCACACAGAGACAAAGAGACUUAUUGAAAAAAGAUCAGUUAUGUUUUCCAGGUCCUGUUAUGCUUUGGUGACACUGGAGCAGUCAGAACUCUAUGAAAGCAAGGACUCUAGUAAUAGAAAUGACUGCUGCCGUUUGAUUGGGUUUGUUGGUGCAGGCUGCAGAGUUUCUUCACUCACCUCUCAGUCAGAUGCGUAGGGACAGACAUGCUUUGGUUAUUCGAUGGCCAGAAGAGUUUGACAACACUUAUUUUACUAUAAAUCACAAACUCAGAUAAAUCUUUAACAGGAACUAUCAGAUCUAGCAACAAGCUACAACUGUGUUCGCCACAUGUUCCCAAUUUUCUUGCUUCCUCUAUAUGUCAAUCCUGCAAACACAUUGUUGAUUACCUGCACAUGAGCAGCCCAGCCUACUUUGAUGCAUAUAUCUGACGUAGUUUACUUACUCCCGACUUACUAUAAAUAACCUAAUAGAAAGGACUCAAUGGGGCUCCUAUCGCCUCUUGCAAAGGGAAAUUGGGGCCCCAAAAGUUUGAGACGUUCUUGAAAACUAACCACAGGAAUCUUUCAAAAUCUGAGCCAAGAUCUUCAUGAAGCCACAUUGACAGAGACCAGUGAAAUUCUUUAGAAUACAAAUGUACAAUGACUGCAUUCUUUGUUACGAGUAUGAGUGUGUACGUGGUUAAAGAAACCAUAAGAUUUCCACAGUUGUUACAGGUUUUUGAGAUCUUGAGAGUCUGAAAAGUACUACAUACAUAACAUUGAUAUACAUUUAAAAAUAUGAGCAACACUUAGCUUCGCAGUGUAUUACUCUUGCCACUUUCUGUAAUUUGAGAUCAUAAGCUAUUCACCUUCACGAAGCCUUAGUUUUACUGCAUUUUAAAAGCUAUUUGAUUUCCAAUAUUCUCCUGCUAAGCUUCACAUGCCGAAUCUAAAAAUUUCUGGCAGGCACAAUUUUGGCCCAAAUAGUUGGUGGCCAAUUCACUUAGAAGACCAUGCAAAAACUCUUUGCAAAAUGAUGUAAAUAAAUAAUGUAGAUCAAAAUGCAAGCAGAAAAAAAUGUGCUUCGGCAUUUGAAGUAUGCUUUGAAAACUUGACAGCACAAAAUUAUGUUCCUCUUCAGCUGCUAUUUCCUUUUUUCUCUGAAGAAUUCCUCCAUUCAUUAAUGGUCUACUGAUUACAAGCACCUCGGGAUCUGGACCCCAUUUGAAAGUGUGCAUACCUGGCCAGAUGGAAGUCAAAAAACUGCGUUUGAGUUACUUCCCAAAAGUAUAACUUCUGGUGAUAAAUGUUCCAAAAAGAGGAAGAGAGAGAGUUUAUAAAUCCCUCUCUUGGUGCUGCUUGACGCAGUCUCCAUUUUAAAUGAGAAUAUGAGCUCAUGUGUAAGGAGCUUGUUAAUAAUACAAAUAGUAAAAGCAAAGAAAAUAAAUUACUACAAGUGGUCUGCUAAAGGAACAUAAUCUGUGAACGUAUUUAUGAAUAUCCAAUACAAUGUACUCUUGUUGUUUAUGCAGUGUUUGCCACAAUCCUUCUUGCAAACUGGUUACUAAUCUGACAAGUAGUUCCAGCCCUUGGAGAUUCGGCACCCACCUUGAAACAUCUCAGCAGAACAGGUAUUCAGCACUUUUGUCACCUCGGAGGAACCAAAAACUGAAGCAUCAAAAUCAAUAGAUUGUGUCUGAAACAUUAAGCUAAAACAGCAUGCAC
Long non-coding RNA from Gallus gallus (chicken), 3097 nucleotides. NCBI's taxonomy places the organism in Eukaryota, Metazoa, Chordata, Aves, Galliformes, Phasianidae. The record is from Ensembl.